This 1423-nucleotide unclassified non-coding RNA is filed under the name Leishmania donovani. RNAcentral describes it as "gene:LdHU3.35.1170(CDS-product:hypothetical_prote in_conserved)". Lineage: Eukaryota; Euglenozoa; Kinetoplastea; Trypanosomatida; Trypanosomatidae. The record is from RNAcentral.
AAACGCCACGUGGGCGGACGUGGGUAGAGCAGCCUUCUCCCAUCCUCAUCCCUCCUCCUCCCCAGUCGCAACUACGGUUUGGUUUAGCUUUUGUAUUAGCCCUUUCUGCCGCAGCCCACGCGGCGUCGAGGAGGAGUCAGCAAGAUGCUUGCCUUGGUGCGGUCUUGGUCAGGUGUCACCGUAGGUGGGCUGGCGAGCAGCAGCACCGCCAUCUUGAUGGUCAGCAAGAGGAGUGGUAGUAGCAGCACUAGUAGUGUGUGUCACUUGCAGUCGCACCUGUGUGCGCGACCCUCCAGCAUGGCCUGUAUCGUGAGCGCUGGUGCGGGUGCUGUCGUUGCAUGUCCGUCCACCAGCAGCGUCGGAGGCAUGCGACCCUCCCGACUCCUGCGUCGACCGCAGACGAUAAAGCCGAACCCGAACGAAGCCACCAGCGGCCAAUUUGAGAGGAGUUUCGAGAAGUUGACGGACAAGAUCGAGUCGCGCCUUCCGUUCCGUCAGCACCACGUUCUGCAUGGCAACAUCUACGAGCAGCCGUAUGGCGAGCGGAGUGAGCAUGACAUGUGGGUGGAGGCGCAGGAAGAUCUGCAUGGACGCGAGAAGGAGAAGCCGGCGGCACGGCAGGUGCGCAGCUACUUCUCCGACGAAGACCUUUCUCCAGAGGCGAUGCACGUCCGCUCGCCACAGCUGAAGGUGGCACAAAACCUUCAGAGGCAGGCGUACGACAAGAAAAUUCUGAAAACGACGGCGGAGCCGGCUGCCUACUACUACCCGGUGGUGACCUUGGAAGAGAAGCGGCGCUACCGUUGGAAGCUGAUUGCUGGAUGGAGCGCCGUUGGAAUGAUGACGCUCACAGGAUUGCGGCAUCUAUGCGAGCACAUGCGCACGGCUGGUUAGCUCUGCUGUACUCGCUGGCUUCGAAAGCAUGUCUGUGUUUUUGCGCGUGUGGAUUUGUGUGCGCCUGAAGGAAAUGACCGAGGGAAAAUGGUAGCUGUUAUUGGCGGCCCGAACGCGUCGAUAUCACCUGUCGUCUUCUUUCUUCGCCACCGUCUCUAGGCGCCAUCGCGGUGGCGACCGUGCUGCUGGCUUCACCGCACUCCCCAUGUCACCCCCGAGUCCCUCUCCCUCCAUCUCUCUCUCUCGAUGCCCUUUUCUGUUUUUCCCGUUUGCUGUCGCUAUUCAUUCUCCUCUUUGCGGAACCCACACGCACGCACACGUUGCCACGGUUGGUGUCCACACCCGUUCGCCUCCUGUCCUUCCCGUCCUACUCUACUUCUGUUUAUGAUGUUGGCCGAUUUUGUGCGCCACCUCAUCACACCCCACGCAUACGCACAAUACAACACGACAUCACCAUCGACUCGAACAACUAAACCUUCUAAAACAACAUCAAAACUGUUGCCGCGCGCACACGCACACGUUCACGAAG